This 453-nucleotide ribosomal RNA is filed under the name Triticum aestivum (bread wheat). RNAcentral's name for it is "partial small subunit ribosomal RNA". The record is from RNAcentral. Lineage: Eukaryota; Viridiplantae; Streptophyta; Magnoliopsida; Poales; Poaceae.
AUGGCUUCAUGGAGCGCAGCUGUAGUGGGCGUGCUGGUGUUUGUGGUGUUGGGCAUGGGAGCAGGGCCGGCGGCGGCGAAGAUGGCGUGCAAGGGCUGCCCCACGUACUGCAGCUCGAUGUGCAACAGCACCAUCAGGGGAGUGGCGUCGUCGAGCAACUGGUAUUUCUGCAACGGCCCCUGUGGCUCACCGACGAACUGCGUGGAGGGCUGCAAGUCCUCCGGCCGCGCGCCGUGCUUGAGCGCCUGCGCAAGCUCGUGCAGCCCCUCGGCCGGGAAUACCUACUGCUCCAGCUUCUGCGCCGGCUCUUGCAGCCGCAUCGACUACGAAACCGCGUGCAAGAGUAGGUGCUGCCCUUCCCGUCGGCAGUGCGACGAACGCAUCAGCGGCAUCAUCCAGACGUGCAUCACCGGCUGCACCACCGGCUGCCAGGCCAACUGUGUCACCGCCUGA